This 1063-nucleotide long non-coding RNA is filed under the name Callithrix jacchus (white-tufted-ear marmoset). Its description in RNAcentral is "lncRNA (ENSCJAG00000082698.1)". Lineage: Eukaryota; Metazoa; Chordata; Mammalia; Primates; Cebidae. The record is from RNAcentral.
UGGCUACCGAUCUCUUUUGUUUGCACUUUUUUGUCUGAAGAUUUAUCCUUCGCUGCUGCCUUUUUCGGCUUCGCUUCCACUUUUGCAGGAGGUUUCGCUGACAACCGCACAGAUCUCCUCUUGGGCUCUUCCUUGGCGGCCCCUUCGGAGGAACUGACCUUCCUUUUGGGCAUCCUGGCAGCUGGGAGGCGCGUGCCGGGUGCGUGUGGGCCGCGGCGCGCCGAAAGCCUUUGCGAAGCUGCGCUGCCUAUCCGCUGCCACUCCUCUGAAGUCCCAUCUUAUCCCAUCAGCUUUUCCCCACUUUGUCAAAAUAAAGAAAAACUUCAUUGGAUGGAGGGUUUGACUGCACUGUUCUCCGGUACUGCCCCCUUAUUACUGCCUGGACACUAGACAGCAUUUAGAGCUGGCCCUAGUUUAUUCACUCCUUUCAGAUGGAUUCACCCCUUGUAGCUCUAAGAGGCAAGAGUAAGGGUUUAGUAUAAGCAAUUGGACUCAGUCCUGCUCCUCAGGCCCGGAAAGUACGUAUAUCCAAUUGAAUUUUUAGGGUACUAGUUUUCUAUUGCUGUUAUAAAAAAAAUUAUUAUAAACUCAGCAGCUUAAAAUAACACAAAUUUAUUCUCCUAUACUUUGGAGACCAGAAGUCAACAUGCGUUUUAAGAAGCUAAAAUCAAGAUGUUGGCAAGGCUAGUUCUUUCCAAAGGCUCCAGGAGCACAUCUGUUCCCUUGCCUCUUCUAGCUUCUAACAGCUGCAGCACUCUGUAACCCCUGGCAGCAUCACUUCAGUAUCUACUCUCAUGAUCACACAGGCUUCUCCUAUCUUUGACCUUCUUGCCUCCCACUUAUAAGGGUCAUCAGGGUUACUGUCAAGGUUCACAGAAUGAUGUAGGAUAACUCCAUCUUAUGGCUCUUUCAUUAUUAGUAUACUUUAAGUUCUGGGAUAAAUGUGCAGAACGUGCAAGUUUGUUACAUAGGUAUACAUGUGCCAUGGUAGUUUGCUGCAGUCAUCAACCCGUCAUCUACAUUAGGUAUUUCUCUUAAUGUUACCCCUCCCCUAGACCCCAAC